GACGAACCGUGCGAACGUUGUUCGGAUUCACUGGGCUUAAAGGGCGCGUAGGCGGAUCAGCAAGUCUGGGGUGAAAUCCUUCGGCUCAACCGGAGAAGUGCCUCCGAUACUGCUGGUCUGGAGGGAGGUAGGGGUGUGUGGAACUUCCGGUGGAGCGGUGAAAUGCGUAGAUAUCGGAAGGAACGCCGGUGGCGAAAGCGACGCACUGGACCUCUUCUGACGCUGAUGCGCGAAAGCUAGGGGAGCAAACGGG
Molecule: ribosomal RNA, 253 nt
Filed under: uncultured bacterium
Lineage: Bacteria
Description: partial 16S ribosomal RNA
Rfam family: Bacterial small subunit ribosomal RNA
Source: RNAcentral